AUUGGAUGGGUGGUGGUGCGCGCACCCACCUCUCCAGAAAUGAGUGGUGUGGUUCGGUUGUUUUGUGCAGUGAUUCUUAUAGUUAAUCGUGUUGUGUUUAAUGCCCUAAUGGAUAUACUACAUACAAAUUUCGAAGUCUUGGACCUGGAUUGUAACGACACACAUUGGAGAGAGAAAAUUGUCCAAAAUCUUUAAACAUUAUUCGGAUUCUUUCGAGGGACAGAUGCUUGGAAAUCUAAUGUAUGAGUUUAGUAGAGCAAGUAUCCUAACAUCAACAGGGUUGGUUGAAUCAUCGGAUCUCAACGACACUUGCCAUACCUAAAUCAUCUGUGAUCAGAAUAGUGCAAUUAUUCCAAGAGUGCAAAUGUGUAUAGAUGACAUCCAAGAGUAACAAAUGAAAGGGAGAAUCGUUAAAUAGCCAUUUUUUUUUCAUCGCAACCGUAACGUCACUGUGGCAGCUGCAAGAACACAGUUUAGAAGAACCUACGGUAGACUGAUUUCUGCACUUACAAUGCGACGUCGACUUACUGAUGCUACUUUAAGAUCUAAACGGCCAUUAAGAGUGCCUAGACUUACUAGGCAACAUAUAGCUACCCGUCUAUGACUUUUACCACACUCGAGAAACCACCACUCUGUGAGACAAUGUCCGAUAAUUUGAUUUGGCCAAAGAACUCGCCAGACAACUCCUCAGGAGCUAAUUGUAGCAAAUCAGGACGAAUGGGCCAACAUAUCGCAAGAAGAUAUCAAUAAUUUAAUUCUUUCAAUGCCACGGUAGAUGAGUUAAUUGCUUCAAAAAAUCAAAUGAAUCAAAAUGAUUAAAUGUACAUUGUAGUUUAUUGUCAAUAUAAAUAGG
Molecule: long non-coding RNA, 853 nt
Organism: Aethina tumida (small hive beetle)
Lineage: Eukaryota; Metazoa; Arthropoda; Insecta; Coleoptera; Nitidulidae
Exons: 3
Source: RefSeq, a predicted model, not a curated record